RNAcentral lists this ribosomal RNA (685 nucleotides) under Bacillus thuringiensis. RNAcentral's name for it is "bacterial SSU rRNA". It matches the Rfam family "Bacterial small subunit ribosomal RNA", at positions 34 to 698 of the family's 1533-position model. Lineage: Bacteria; Bacillati; Bacillota; Bacilli; Caryophanales; Bacillaceae. The record is from RNAcentral.
CCCGGGCGGGGGCCUAUACAUGCAAGUCGAGCGAAUGGGAUUAAGAGCUUGCUCUUAUGAAGUUAGCGGCGGACGGGUGAGUAACACGUGGGUAACCUGCCCAUAAGACUGGGAUAACUCCGGGAAACCGGGGCUAAUACCGGAUAACAUUUUGAACCGCAUGGUUCGAAAUUGAAAGGCGGCUUCGGCUGUCACUUAUGGAUGGACCCGCGUCGCAUUAGCUAGUUGGUGAGGUAACGGCUCACCAAGGCAACGAUGCGUAGCCGACCUGAGAGGGUGAUCGGCCACACUGGGACUGAGACACGGCCCAGACUCCUACGGGAGGCAGCAGUAGGGAAUCUUCCGCAAUGGACGAAAGUCUGACGGAGCAACGCCGCGUGAGUGAUGAAGGCUUUCGGGUCGUAAAACUCUGUUGUUAGGGAAGAACAAGUGCUAGUUGAAUAAGCUGGCACCUUGACGGUACCUAACCAGAAAGCCACGGCUAACUACGUGCCAGCAGCCGCGGUAAUACGUAGGUGGCAAGCGUUAUCCGGAAUUAUUGGGCGUAAAGCGCGCGCAGGUGGUUUCUUAAGUCUGAUGUGAAAGCCCACGGCUCAACCGUGGAGGGUCAUUGGAAACUGGGAGACUUGAGUGCAGAAGAGGAAAGUGGAAUUCCAUGUGUAGCGGUGAAAUGGCCGUAGAAAAA